UACGGGGGGGGCAAGCGUUGUUCGGAAUUACUGGGCGUAAAGGGCUUGUAGGUGGCCAACUAAGUCAGACGUGAAAUCCCUCGGCUUAACCGGGGAACUGCGUCUGAUACUGGAUGGCUAGAGUGUGGGAGAGGGAUGCGGAAUUCCAGGUGUAGCGGUGAAAUGCGUAGAUAUCAGGAGGAACACCGAUGGCGAAGGCAGGUCUCUGGGCCACUACUGACGCUGAGGCGCGAAAGCGUGGGGAGCAAACAGG
This 253-nucleotide ribosomal RNA is filed under the name uncultured bacterium. Its description in RNAcentral is "partial 16S ribosomal RNA". It matches the Rfam family "Bacterial small subunit ribosomal RNA", at positions 524 to 776 of the family's 1533-position model. The record is from RNAcentral.